UAAACUUUCCACACUCCCAUUGCCAUGCAUGAAUGAACCAUAUGGUUCUCUGUGAUUUGCAAAAAUAGUGGGAGAUAAUAAAUGGGCUAAAUGGCCAAUAAUACGUACGGUAUAAUUACGAAUUUUGUCAGCAUAUAUAAAUCAAGACUAAUUUGGCUAGUUUGUGCGACAUGGUGCAUCGCAUGUUUUUUCCAGGAAACUACGAAUCUAUUCAUCUUCAGUUAUGAUAGUACAACAAACAGUAAAAAUAAUAAUAAAUACAUCCAAAACUGUAGACAAUCUGUAGACCACCUAGCGACGACUACAAGCACUAAAGCGAGCCGAAGGCGUGCCACUGUCAUCGCCCCUUCCUCAUCGGAGCCGAGCAAAACUUGUUGUAGUAGACAGUCGGGAAGUCGUCGUGCUAACACCCCAUAUGACCAUCGCACCAGAACAGCAACCGUCGCCGAUAAAGAGUAGCGUAGAUUAGAAGGAUUUAAUCUGAAGACACACAAAUAUAGACGAACAACGACCAGAUCUGAUCAAAUCCACCAAAGACAGAUCAGCCGGAAGCACACCUUCACAUGAACCACCAACGGUGCUAGACCCAUAACCGAAACAGGGGCUAGACGAGGAGAACAUUAUUCCAUCUUCAGGGAGCUGCCGCUAUCCCGCCUUCCUGAGUAGGACACAAAUCCUAACAAAAGUCAAAGAAAAAUCUAAAAACGAAGUCCUCCCACCUGCAAAGACCGGGAUCCGGAAGGCGCCGGCUGCUAGCACAUCACAUGUUGGCUAAAUAUUAUUCACAAAAAUAAUACAUUUCGACUAAAUGCAUCAGCUUAAAGACGGAGGUCUCUCCCAUAUCACUUGUAAUUGUAGGAAAGAACUAAAGCAGAAUCACAAGUGGUUAACCGCCGCGUAUGAUGCCCUGAAGCGGCCGUACGAAUGGCGAGUGAAAUACUACUGUGUUGAAAGAUAAAGUGAAGCAAUGAUAUAAAAGAAUAAAGCGAAGAGUGGUAUGGAAGUCCCUUUAACGUGUGUUAGGACCUCAGAUUUACUAUUUCACCACAGCGCUCCCAAAUCGAGCGUGGAUCGGCUAGCUUUUAACAAGACCGGCAAAGGAACAAACAAGGACGUACGUACGUUAACGCGUCAGAGCAAUAAUAAGCAUGUACAUAUGCUGGGCCUUGUCGAGUAUAUUAGCAAUUAUCCGACUAUUCAAACCAGAAAUAGAUCAUAAACAUGGCAUGGACAUAAUUAAUGCGUACUGAUUUCUAACCGUUAGGGCACGUGCUACGCAUAUUGCUAUUACUGUUAAAAUAGAAAUAAAUAGAAGCGGGAUAAACAUGUUAUACCCUUCGGUAGGCGUAAGUCUGGGCAAAGCCACAGCUGUGGCGGCCUCUUGGGCGGCCUUCUUGUCAGCGGCGGCCUUCUCGGCAGCGAGUCGGUCAACUUCGGUGGCGGUGGACUUGGUGAUGACGAAGUCGGUGCGGACAUAGACGAAGUAGUGAGUGUAGACGAAUAGCGGCAAGCAAUCUCAUAGGAGACGCUCCUCAAAGACUUAAUUGCCCUCUCCCGUACAGGAUUUCAAAGGGCCGGGUUUUGGAAGCCCGCUCUCCCAUACAACCAUACACGCGGUGGAUGGGAUAAGAUCGCCGACGGCAGCAGCGGGAGUGGAACAACGGC
Molecule: long non-coding RNA, 1665 nt
Filed under: Triticum aestivum (bread wheat)
Lineage: Eukaryota; Viridiplantae; Streptophyta; Magnoliopsida; Poales; Poaceae
Description: long non-coding RNA (TAES_LNC008872)
Source: RNAcentral